GACGAACGCUGGCGGCGUGCCUAAUACAUGCAAGUCGAGCGCAGGAAACUGACGGAACUCUUCGGAGGGAAGGCAGCGGAAUGAGCGGCGGACGGGUGAGUAACACGUAAGGAACCUGCCUCAAGGAUUGGGAUAACUCCGAGAAAUCGGAGCUAAUACCGGAUAGUUCAUCGGACCGCGUGGUCCGCUGAUGAAAGGCGCUCCGGCGUCACCUUGAGAUGGCCUUGCGGUGCAUUAGCUAGUUGGUGGGGUAACGGCCCACCAAGGCGACGAUGGCAGGCCGACCUGAGAGGGUGGUCGGCCACACGGGGACUGAGACACGGCCCAGACUCCUACGGGAGGCAGCAGUAGGGAAUCUUCCACAAUGGACGAAAGUCUGAUGGGGCGAUGCCGCGUGAAUGAUGAAGGUCUUCGGAUUGUAAAGUUCUGUUGUAAGGGAAGAAAAAGAAUGAUAGGAAAUGAUCAUUAAUUGACGGUACCUUACCAGAAAGCCACGGCUAACUACGUGCCAGCCGCCGCAGUAA
Molecule: ribosomal RNA, 524 nt
Filed under: uncultured bacterium
Lineage: Bacteria
Description: partial 16S ribosomal RNA
Rfam family: Bacterial small subunit ribosomal RNA
Source: RNAcentral